CCCUCUGAAUCAUCAAGAUUAAAUAUACAAUCAACUUCAACUUCGGAUGACAGAUCAGCCCUAUUCAAAGAAGUUGUCAUAAGUUCUUCGUCAACAAGAAGCUUGGUCAAUAUUUGUUCUUCCUCUUGAAAAACUUUCUCUUCAUGUAGAUCUGAAUUUUCAUCUAUCUCUAGUUAGAUUAGUAUGUCAUAUAUAUCUUUAGAUA
Molecule: long non-coding RNA, 205 nt
Filed under: Elaeis guineensis (African oil palm)
Lineage: Eukaryota; Viridiplantae; Streptophyta; Magnoliopsida; Arecales; Arecaceae
Description: long non-coding RNA (EGUI_LNC045564)
Source: RNAcentral